This 303-nucleotide ribosomal RNA is filed under the name Triticum aestivum (bread wheat). RNAcentral describes it as "partial small subunit ribosomal RNA". The record is from RNAcentral. Lineage: Eukaryota; Viridiplantae; Streptophyta; Magnoliopsida; Poales; Poaceae.
GUCCUCACAGCCAUGCCAACGUUUGCACUGACAGCUCUUAAAAUCCCAGUAAAGCUGUUGAAAGAGAUAGACAAAUGUAGACGCCGAUUCCUCUGGGGCCACGAUCAGGAGCUCACCGGCGGCAGCUGCAAGGUGAACUGGGCGCGGGUUUGCUCCCCGAUCGAGCAUGGUGGCCUUGGCAUCCUCGAUCUGACCAAAUUCAGCCGCGCCCUCCAUCUACGCUGGCUCUGGCAUGCAUGGAAAAUCCCGGAGCGCCCGUGGGCAGGAACAGAGCUGCCAUGUGAUGCCUUCGACCAUGCCCUU